ACGAACGCUGGCGGCGUGCUUAACACAUGCCAGUCGAACGGAAAGGCCCUGCUUUUGUGGGGUGCUCGAGUGGCGAACGGGUGAGUAACACGUGAGUAACCUGCCCUUGACCUUGGGAUAACUUCAGGAAACUGGGGCUAAUACCGGAUAGGAGCUCCUGCUGCAUGGUGGGGGUUGGAAAGUUUCGGCGGUUGGGGAUGGACUCGCGGCUUAUCAGCUUGUUGGUGGGGUAGUGGCUUACCAAGGCUUUGACGGGUAGCCGGCCUGAGAGGGUGACCGGCCACAUUGGGACUGAGAUACGGCCCAGACUCCUACGGGAGGCAGCAGUGGGGAAUAUUGCACAAUGGGCGGAAGCCUGAUGCAGCAACGCCGCGUGCGGGAUGACGGCCUUCGGGUUGUAAACCGCUUUCGCCUGUGACGAAGCGUGAGUGACGGUAAUGGGUAAAGAAGCACCGGCUAACUACGUG
RNAcentral lists this ribosomal RNA (467 nucleotides) under uncultured bacterium. Its description in RNAcentral is "partial 16S ribosomal RNA". It matches the Rfam family "Bacterial small subunit ribosomal RNA", at positions 29 to 507 of the family's 1533-position model. The record is from RNAcentral.